UAUAUGCUUGUCUCAAAGAUUAAGCCAUGCAUGUCUAAGUACAUGCCGAAUUAAGGCGAAACCGCGAAUGGCUCAUUAAAUCAGUCUUGGUUCCUUGGAUCGUACUUUACUACUUGGAUAACUGUGGCAAUUCUAGAGCUAAUACAUGCAGCAGAGCUCCGACCUUCGGGGACGAGCGCUUUUAUUAGACCAAAACCAAUCGGGCCUAGUGUCCGUGAACUGUGGUGACUCUGUAUAACUUUGGGCUGAUCGCACGGGCUCGUCCCGGCGACGUAUCUUUCAAGUGUCUGCCUUAUCAACUGUCGAUGGUAGGUUACGCGCCUACCAUGGUCGUAACGGGUAACGGGGGAUCAG
This 354-nucleotide ribosomal RNA is filed under the name Azilia guatemalensis. Its description in RNAcentral is "SSU rRNA". It matches the Rfam family "Eukaryotic small subunit ribosomal RNA", at positions 26 to 373 of the family's 1831-position model. Lineage: Eukaryota; Metazoa; Arthropoda; Arachnida; Araneae; Tetragnathidae. The record is from RNAcentral.